CCUACGGGAGGCAGCAGUGAGGAAUAUUGGUCAAUGGACGAGAGUCUGAACCAGCCAAGUAGCGUGAAGGAUGACUGCCCUAUGGGUUGUAGACUUCUUUUAUCUGGGAAUAAAAUGUUCCACGUGUGGGAUCCUGUAUGUACCCUGUGAAUAAGGAUCGGCUAACUCCGUGCCAGCAGCCGCGGUAAUACGGAGGAUCCGAGCGUUAUCCGGAUUUAUUGGGUUUAAAGGGUGCGUAGGGGGAGGGUUAAGUCAGUUGUGAAAGUUUGCGGCUCAACCGUAAAAGUGCAGUUGAAACUGGGAGCCUGGAGUGCGGUAGAGGUGGGCGGAAGGCGUGGUGUAGCGGUGAAAUGCUUAGAUAUCGCGAAGAACUCCGAUUGCGAAGGCAGCUCGCUGGACUGCAACUGACACUGAGGCUCGAAAGUGUGGGUAUCGAACAGGAUUAGAUACCCUAGUAGUC
Molecule: ribosomal RNA, 460 nt
Filed under: uncultured bacterium
Lineage: Bacteria
Description: partial 16S ribosomal RNA
Rfam family: Bacterial small subunit ribosomal RNA
Source: RNAcentral